RNAcentral lists this small RNA (623 nucleotides) under Pongo abelii (Sumatran orangutan). Its description in RNAcentral is "processed transcript". The record is from RNAcentral. Lineage: Eukaryota; Metazoa; Chordata; Mammalia; Primates; Hominidae.
CGAUCAGUCGGUCCUGGGCUGGUUGUGGUGUAGGGCGUUGCAGGCAGCGCUUACCUCCUCAGGCCGGCAGAAUGCGAGUGGCUGUGGCUGGCUGCUGCCACGGCGAGCUGGAUAAGAUCUAUGAGACGCUGGCGCUGGCGGAGCGGCGCGGCCCGGGGCCUGUCGACCUCUUGCUGUGCUGCGGCGACUUCCAGGCGGUGCGCAACGAGGUGGAUCUACGCUGCAUGGCCGUGCCGCCCAAGUAUCGUCACAUGCAAACCUUCUACAGGUAUUACUCUGGAGAGAAAAAGGCCCCAGUUCUCACGCUCUUCAUUGGGGGAAACCAUGAAGCCUCAAAUCAUUUGCAAGAGUUACCCUAUGGUGGCUGGGUGGCACCAAACAUUUAUUAUUUAGGUUUGGCUGGUGUGGUAAAAUACCGAGGUGUAAGGAUCGGUGGAAUCUCUGGUAUCUUUAAAUCUCAUGACUAUCGAAAAGAGUUUCGUUCUUGGUGUCCAUGAUGGAGUGCAGUGGCGCGAUCUCAGCUCACUACAACCUCCACCUCCCGGGUUCAAGCCAUUCUCCUGCCUCAGCCUCCUGAGUAGCUGGGAUUACAGGCGCCUGCCACCAUGCCUGGCUAAUUUUUU